ACUGCUCAGUAACACGUAGCUAACCUACCCUUAGGACGUCGAUAACCCCGAGAAAUUGGGGCUAAUAGGCGAUAGAUGUAUUGUCCUGGAAUGGUAAUACGUCCAAAGGUAUCCCAUACAUGUUUGGUAUGCGCCUAAGGAUGGGGCUGCGGCCGAUCAGGCUGUUGGUGAGGUAAUGGCUCACCAAACCUUUGACCGGUAUGGGCCAUGAGAGUGGUAGCCCAGAGAUGGACACUGAGACAAGGGUCCAGGCCCUACGGGGCGCAGCAGGCGCGAAACCUCCUCAAUGCACUAACGUGCGAAGGGGUUACCUCGAGUGCCACCUGAAGAAGGUGGCUUUUCCUCGGUCUAAAAAGCCUAGGGAAUAAGAGGGGGGCAAGACUGGUGUCAGCCGCCGCGGUAACACCAGCCCCUCGAGUGGUGGGGAUGAUUAUUUGGCCUAAAGCGUCCGUAGCCGGCCGGGCAAAUCUCUCGUUAAAUCCAGCGUCCUAAGCGUUGGGCUGCGAGGGAGACUGCCAAGCUAGAGGGUGGGAGAGGUUAGCGGUAUUUCUGGGGUAGGGGCGAAAUCCAUUGAUCCCAGGAGGACCACCAGUGGCGAAGGCUGCUGACCAGAACACGCCUGACGGUGAGGGACGAAAGCUGGGGUAGCGAAUCGGAUUAGAUACCCGAGUAGUCCCAGCCGUAAACGAUGCAGGCUAGGUGCUGGGUCGGCCAUGUGCCGACUCAGUGCCACAGGGAAGCCAUUAAGCCUGCCGCCUGGGGAGUACGGUCGCAAGGCUGAAACUUAAAGGAAUUGGCGGGAGAGCACCACCAGGCGUGAAGCCUGCGGGUUAAUUGGAGUCAACGCCGGA
RNAcentral lists this ribosomal RNA (851 nucleotides) under uncultured archaeon. RNAcentral's name for it is "bacterial SSU rRNA". It matches the Rfam family "Archaeal small subunit ribosomal RNA", at positions 85 to 922 of the family's 1478-position model. The record is from RNAcentral.